Molecule: unclassified non-coding RNA, 332 nt
Filed under: soil metagenome
Description: partial contains 5.8S ribosomal RNA, internal transcribed spacer 2, and large subunit ribosomal RNA
Rfam family: 5.8S ribosomal RNA (bases 1-120)
Source: RNAcentral
GAUGAAGAACGUAGCAAAAUGCGAUAAGUAAUGUGAAUUGCAGAAUUCAGUGAAUCAUCGAAUCUUUGAACGCACAUUGCGCCCGCCAGUAUUCUGUCGGGCAUGCCUGUUCGAGCGUCAUUUCAACCCUCAAGCACAGCUUGGUGUUGGGACUCGCGUUAAUUCGCGUUCCCCAAAUUGAUUGGCGGUCACGUCGAGCUUCCAUAGCGUAGUAGUAAAACCCUCGUUACUGGUAAUCGUCGCGGCCACGCCGUUAAACCCCAACUUCUGAAUGUUGACCUCGGAUCAGGUAGGAAUACCCGCUGAACUUAAGCAUAUCAAUAAGCGGAGGA